RNAcentral lists this unclassified non-coding RNA (200 nucleotides) under Umbelopsis sp. Its description in RNAcentral is "partial internal transcribed spacer 2". The record is from RNAcentral. Lineage: Eukaryota; Fungi; Mucoromycota; Umbelopsidomycetes; Umbelopsidales; Umbelopsidaceae.
UUAAGUUCAGCGGGUAGCCCUACCUGAUUUCAGAUCAAAAUUUGAAUGAGUUUUCUGUAUUAUCAAGACUGACUCCUGGAGCAAAUGUUAGCCAAAGAUUUGACAAUGAAUGCCAAAACUAUUAGGCCAAACUGCUGUAUUAGGUGACAGCCAAGAACUACAUUUUAGAAGGGCCAACCAUGACAGUCGGCGCAUUCCAA